UACGUAGGGGGCAAGCGUUGUCCGGAUUUAUUGGGCGUAAAGAGCGUGUAGGCGGUCUGGUAGGUCCGUUGUGAAAACUCGAGGCUCAACCUCGAGACGCCGAUGGAAACCAUCAGACUAGAGUCCGGAAGAGGAGAGUGGAAUUCCUGGUGUAGCGGUGAAAUGCGCAGAUAUCAGGAGGAACACCGGUGGCGAAGGCGGUUCUCUGGGCCUGUACUGACGCUGAGGAGCGAAAGCGUGGGGAGCGAACAGG
This 253-nucleotide ribosomal RNA is filed under the name uncultured bacterium. RNAcentral describes it as "partial 16S ribosomal RNA". It matches the Rfam family "Bacterial small subunit ribosomal RNA", at positions 524 to 776 of the family's 1533-position model. The record is from RNAcentral.